This 221-nucleotide ribosomal RNA is filed under the name uncultured bacterium. RNAcentral's name for it is "partial 16S ribosomal RNA". It matches the Rfam family "Bacterial small subunit ribosomal RNA", at positions 524 to 743 of the family's 1533-position model. The record is from RNAcentral.
UACAGAGGGUGCGAGCGUUAAUCGGAAUUACUGGGCGUAAAGCGUGCGUAGACGGUUUUGUAAGUCGGAUGUGAAAUCCCCGGGCUCAACCUGGGAAUUGCAUUCGAGACUGCAAGGCUUGGGUGCGGAAGAGGGAAGCGGAAUUUCCGGUGUAGCGGUGAAAUGCGUAGAUAUCGGAAGGAACAUCAGUGGCGAAAGCGGCUUCCUGGUCCCAGCACCGA